RNAcentral lists this ribosomal RNA (388 nucleotides) under uncultured bacterium. RNAcentral describes it as "bacterial SSU rRNA". It matches the Rfam family "Bacterial small subunit ribosomal RNA", at positions 30 to 419 of the family's 1533-position model. The record is from RNAcentral.
AUUGAACGCUGGCGGCAUGCCUUACACAUGCAAGUCGAACGGCAGCGGACCUUCGGGUGCCGGCGAGUGGCGAACGGGUGAGUAAUAUAUCGGAACGUACCUUUCAGUGGGGGAUAACGUAGCGAAAGUUACGCUAAUACCGCAUAUUCUGUGAGCAGGAAAGCAGGGGGAUCGCAAGACCUUGCGCUGAUUGAGCGGCCGAUAUCAGAUUAGCUAGUUGGUGAGGUAAAGGCUCACCAAGGCGACGAUCUGUAGCGGGUCUGAGAGGAUGAUCCGCCACACUGGAACUGAGACACGGCCCAGACUCCUACGGGAGGCAGCAGUGGGGAAUUUUGGACAAUGGGCGCAAGCCUGAUCCAGCCAUGCCGCGUGAGUGAAGAAGGCCUGG